Molecule: ribosomal RNA, 465 nt
Filed under: Vreelandella stevensii
Lineage: Bacteria; Pseudomonadati; Pseudomonadota; Gammaproteobacteria; Oceanospirillales; Halomonadaceae
Description: partial 16S ribosomal RNA
Rfam family: Bacterial small subunit ribosomal RNA
Source: RNAcentral
CCUACGGGGGGCUGCAGUGGGGAAUAUUGGUCAAUGGGGGGAACCCUGAUCCAGCCAUGCCGCGUGUGUGAAGAAGGCCCUCGGGUUGUAAAGCACUUUCAGUGAGGAAGAACGCCUGGUGGUUAAUACCCAUCAGGAAAGACAUCACUCACAGAAGAAGCACCGGCUAACUCCGUGCCAGCAGCCGCGGUAAUACGGAGGGUGCGAGCGUUAAUCGGAAUUACUGGGCGUAAAGCGCGCGUAGGUGGCUUGAUAAGCCGGUUGUGAAAGCCCCGGGCUCAACCUGGGAACGGCAUCCGGAACUGUCAAGCUAGAGUGCAGGAGAGGAAGGUAGAAUUCCCGGUGUAGCGGUGAAAUGCGUAGAGAUCGGGAGGAAUACCAGUGGCGAAGGCGGCCUUCUGGACUGACACUGACACUGAGGUGCGAAAGCGUGGGUAGCAAACAGGAUUAGAUACCCUAGUAGUC